Molecule: long non-coding RNA, 1257 nt
Organism: Panicum virgatum (switchgrass)
Lineage: Eukaryota; Viridiplantae; Streptophyta; Magnoliopsida; Poales; Poaceae
Exons: 2
Source: RefSeq, a predicted model, not a curated record
AGCACCUCUGUAAAAGCGGAACAAUGGCAAGACAUAGACAUUGAGCUUCUUGCAGAUCUCUGUCUGUUCAUUAUAAUUAACCAUGAGAAAUUGCAGUCCUGGAUGCAUCCUGGCAAAUUGAUGAACCUUUGUGGACAUGACAAAAAAAAAGGCCCUUGCAAGCUCCACAACUAGGUGAAAAGAAGUGCACCACUGUGAACUUAUCUCCAGCAAUUAAUAGCUGUUUAUCAAAAUCUUCUUGUGAUUUGAUAUUCUUCAUGUUGUCGUUCAUUUCCUUCUCCCACCACUUUGUGUGAAUACCCUAAUACCACAACUGAAUAUCAUUUCCAUCUUUGUAGUGCUUCAGCAUGUGUUUGAAUGAAUGUUUGAGUUGUGUUGUUUUUUAACGAAACUGUUUUUAUUCUAUCUGGAUUACCUUUAUGGGAACUUGUGUGUUUUGUGAUUAAGAUAUGUCCAAGCAUUAGAGGUAGUUUCUGAUUACUAUAGAAAUUACCUUUUUGGGAUCUUUUGGUACAGCUCUAGUGAUCUGCCAACCAGUUGAGGCAACCUUUUCUGUGGGCAAGAAUUGCUUCCCCUUGAUCCCAUUAUAGUUCCGAGUCAAUAUCUUGAAGCAACCAUCAGAUCGGUUGCUUGCAUAUCCAUGAUGAGAUGAACGACCAACAACCCAAUGGUUCAUCAAAGCUGAAGCCAUCAGCGCCCUUGAACUGAAAACAGAACGGAGUAUGUAACAAGUCAGCACCUCCAUGACUCCUGAAUGCUAAAGAAAAGGGUGUAUUUCAAAGCACAACAUGCCUCAAACUAACUGGACAAGUUCUACAAGAGAUGGAAAUCAUGUAGUGGUGAAAUGGGGAUGGCCUAGGAUGAGGUAUUUAUAGCUGAAGGAAAUUUUGUUUCAGAAGCAAAGAAUACCUCAUCCUAGCAACACAAACCCCUUUUCGAACUUUUCAGUUUAAUGCAUGUUUAUCGCUCAAAAAAGUGGUUCUGUUGCUUAUCCAAAUGCACAUAGGUACAGUCAGAAGUUUUGUUUCUUGUGGUCAUGUUUGGAUUUGUUAGGUGCUUUCUUUCUUCUAUUACUUAUUUCCAUGCUUUAGCUUUGGUGUUUCUUACACUCCAUUAUGACUUUUAUCUGAGGCGGCACGGCUUAUGCUCCAGGAUAGAGGAAGCUGAUGUGUAUUUGCAUAAAAAGUUGGCAUUUUGUGACCUUUGUUAUAUCUAUAUCUACUUUACUGGAAGGUAUGAUUGGAUUUCUUGCUGAAA